UACGUACCGUCCAAACGUUAUUCGGAAUUACUGGGCUUAAAGGGUACGUAGGCGGCGCUGUCAGUCGGGUGUGAAAUCCCUCGGCUCAACCGAGGAAUUGCGCCCGAUACUGCAGUGCUUGAGGGAGACAGAGGUAAGCGGAACUGAUGGUGGAGCGGUGAAAUGCGUUGAUAUCAUCAGGAACACCAGUGGCGAAAGCGGCUUACUGGGUCUCUUCUGACGCUGAGGUACGAAAGCUAGGGGAGCGAAGGGG
Molecule: ribosomal RNA, 253 nt
Filed under: uncultured bacterium
Lineage: Bacteria
Description: partial 16S ribosomal RNA
Rfam family: Bacterial small subunit ribosomal RNA
Source: RNAcentral